GACUGAGAUAAUAGGAACGUGUCAAGGAGAGCUCAAGCAUAGGAGGAUAACGGGUCAAGAUAAGGCAAGGUGACAAAUACACUUAUUGGAGUACUCAAGGUUAUGAAUGUCGGACUCUCAAAGUGUUGAUAUAAUAAUGAAACGGUUGAAUCUUGAAAAGAUAAUCGGAUUGAAGUAACUUAUGCGGUUAGAAUAUGCUGUGGACGUUUUAGUUUAUACAACAUUUUACGUUUGGUCGUCAUCAUCUACCAACGGGUUAUGAAUGUCGGACUCUCAAAGUGUUGAUAUAAUAAUGAAACGGUUGAAUCUUGAAAAGAUAAUCGGAUUGAAGUAACUUAUGCGGUUAGAAUAUGCUGUGGACGUUUUAGUUUAUACAACAUUUUACGUUUGGUCGUCAUCAUCUACCAACGGGUAAAUCCUCAAUUCAGGCGACUUGGA
Molecule: long non-coding RNA, 438 nt
Filed under: Helianthus annuus (common sunflower)
Lineage: Eukaryota; Viridiplantae; Streptophyta; Magnoliopsida; Asterales; Asteraceae
Source: RNAcentral